AGGUGCCCCGGGAAAACUUGGGGGAGAAUGGGCAUCCCACCCCAGCACUUUCUAGGAAGAAGGGCAGCAUUUUGAAGGGCUGGAAGUAGAGGAAGGAGGUUGCGGGUAGAAGACUCCAUACUUUCUGUGACGCCUAUUCCUUAGGUAGGAACUUAGGAACCUCAGGAGAGCCUUUAUAUAACCAAAGAUAUUUUUGGACCAUGAAUUCAGAAAUUCUCGGAGCCACCCAUCAGUGCCUGAGCUUCAGUGAGUCCAUAUCCCAUGUCACCCACGGCAAAGGAGACUCUAAGACUUCUGAAGAGUUUCUUGCUUCUUUCCUGUGGGGCAGUGACUCCACUUCCCAGCAGUAAUGGAAUAUCCUGAAUUAGCUACAUUAAUGUUAGAACCAUUUGGACCUCACCCAGGACUUCAACUACAUUAUGAGUAACUCCUGGACGAUUGGCACAGAAGAAGGCACAAGGCAAAUACCCAUCUCUGUACACCCUGUGCUACUGUGUCAUGUGCUGCUCCAGGCAACUCCAAUGGAUUGGCCACCCUGGCCAAUGUGUUCUAGUAUGUUACGUUUAUGUUCCCCUGCUUUCUACAAUCCUGUUCAAAGAGUUGCUGACUUAACCACAGAGAGGAUUCCAGAACCUGAGACACAGAAUAAACUUGAGCAAUCAUAGUCCAUCCACUUCAUUGUCUCAUCAAAAACCAAAGGUCCAGUGAAGCUCUGGAACUCAACGCUGUAAAGGAGCGAAGGAGC
RNAcentral lists this long non-coding RNA (745 nucleotides) under Homo sapiens (human). Its description in RNAcentral is "STARD13 antisense RNA". The record is from RNAcentral. Lineage: Eukaryota; Metazoa; Chordata; Mammalia; Primates; Hominidae.